CGAGUGGAACAUACGGCGGCGGGCCGCCGGCUGGCGACAGCCGCGGCCUGAGGAAAGUCCGGGCUUCACAGAGGCAUGGCAACUGCUAACGGCAGCCGGGGGCGACCCCAGGGAAAGUGCAACAGAAAGAAACCGCCGUGCUUUGGCGCGGUAAGGAUGGAAAGGCGAGGUAAGAGCUCACCAGCGCACUGGCGACUUUGCGGCUAUGUAAACCCUGUCAGAAGCAACAUCCGUAUGGGACAUAUGUGGAAGCCUCGCACGUCCCGGAGAUGGCAUGCCGGCGGACCCCCGCGGCCCGCGGGCGGAGCCUUGCGGCAACGCAAGGUCAAGAUAGAUCGUCGUUUAAUACAGAACCCGGCUUACGGUCCAGUCGUUUA
This 377-nucleotide RNase P RNA is filed under the name Candidatus Gemmiger stercoripullorum. RNAcentral describes it as "RNase P RNA component class A". It matches the Rfam family "Bacterial RNase P class A". From Rfam's summary of the family: Ribonuclease P (RNase P) is a ubiquitous endoribonuclease, found in archaea, bacteria and eukarya as well as chloroplasts and mitochondria. Its best characterised activity is the generation of mature 5'-ends of tRNAs by cleaving the 5'-leader elements of precursor-tRNAs. The record is from RNAcentral. Lineage: Bacteria; Bacillati; Bacillota; Clostridia; Eubacteriales; Oscillospiraceae.